RNAcentral lists this transfer RNA (74 nucleotides) under Pyronema omphalodes. Its description in RNAcentral is "tRNA-Ile". It matches the Rfam family "tRNA". Rfam says of the family: Transfer RNA (tRNA) molecules are approximately 80 nucleotides in length. Lineage: Eukaryota; Fungi; Ascomycota; Pezizomycetes; Pezizales; Pyronemataceae. The record is from RNAcentral.
UGGUUUUUUAACUUAAUUGGUAAAGUGUAUUUUUGAUAAGAAUAUGUUUCAAGUUCAAGUCUUGAAAGAACCAU